RNAcentral lists this transfer RNA (84 nucleotides) under Felis catus (domestic cat). It matches the Rfam family "tRNA". Rfam says of the family: Transfer RNA (tRNA) molecules are approximately 80 nucleotides in length. Their secondary structure includes four short double-helical elements and three loops (D, anti-codon, and T loops). Further hydrogen bonds mediate the characteristic L-shaped molecular structure. tRNAs have two regions of fundamental functional importance: the anti-codon, which is responsible for specific mRNA codon recognition, and the 3' end, to which the tRNAs corresponding amino acid is attached (by aminoacyl-tRNA synthetases). tRNAs cope with the degeneracy of the genetic code in two manners: having more than one tRNA (with a specific anti-codon) for a particular amino acid; and 'wobble' base-pairing, i.e. permitting non-standard base-pairing at the 3rd anti-codon position. The record is from Rfam by way of RNAcentral. Lineage: Eukaryota; Metazoa; Chordata; Mammalia; Carnivora; Felidae.
GCCUGGGUGGCUCAGUCGGUUGAGCGUCUGACUUCGGAUCGGGUCACGAUCUCACGGUUCGUGGGUUCGAGUCCCGCAUGGGCU